GAUGAACGCUGGCGGCGUGCCUAAUACAUGCAAGUCGAGCGAACGGACGAGAAGCUUGCUUCUCUGAUGUUAGCGGCGGAAGGAUGAGGAACACAUGGAUAACCGACAUAUAAACCUGAGAUAACAUCGGGAACCCGGAGCUCAUAGGGGGUAAUAUUUUAAACCGAAUGGGUCCAAAGAGGAAGACGGUCUUGCUGACACUGAUGGAUGGACCCGAGCUGCAUUAGCUAGUUGGUAAGGUAACGGCUUACCAAGGCAACGAGGCAUAGCCGACCGGAGAGGGUGUUCGGCCACACUGGAACUGAGACACGGUCCAGACUCCGACGGGAGGCCGCAGUAGGGAAUCUUCCGCAAUGGGCGAAAGCCUGACGGAGCAACGCCGCGUGAGUGAUGAAGGUCUUCGGAUCGUAAAACUCUGUUAUUAGGGAAGAACAUAUGUGUAAGUAACUGUGCACAUCUUGACGGUACCUAAUCAGAAAGCCACGGCUAACUACGUG
Molecule: ribosomal RNA, 497 nt
Filed under: uncultured bacterium
Lineage: Bacteria
Description: partial 16S ribosomal RNA
Rfam family: Bacterial small subunit ribosomal RNA
Source: RNAcentral